Molecule: long non-coding RNA, 1085 nt
Filed under: Pelobates cultripes (western spadefoot toad)
Lineage: Eukaryota; Metazoa; Chordata; Amphibia; Anura; Pelobatidae
Source: RNAcentral
UGCAUUCAUAUGGGGUAUUCUGCCCCCUAGUGUUUUUCCAUGGCUCUUGGUGAGGUUUGGCUCAAAUACUGCAUCUUUUGCUUGAUCUGUUACAGGAGUUACACUUUUGAGUUGCGAUAUAAAUUUUGGAAAGGGGCCAGGUUCUUGGUGCUUAGGGUAACCAGAAGACCUCAGUAGUUAGGUGUAAAGUAACCCUUCACUAGAAUUAAGCCUGUAUGACAAAAUGGACAGCUAGAGGUAUGCAAAGUGUGGCAUUUGCGUACAUUCUAUAAAAUGUGAAAGAUGCCACAUGCCUGCUGAUAAAAAUUUAACUCUGGCGCACAGGCAAUACUGCUCAUCCAAACUUUGUCCCAUUUUAAUUAAAACUCCCUAACCUCCUCCACAUUUUAUAUUGGCACUCUUUUUUAUAUAAAUUGACCUUGUUACACCCGUGGCUUUUUAAGCAGACAACAGGUCCUGUUACUUCCUGGUUUGAUUUGCUCAAUGGAGCUAAACUCGAGGCAGCAAUUGCCCAGAGCCCCUACCUUUUCAUUGAACUGUAUCGGGAAGCCUAUGAUUGGACAUCCACAGAAAGUCUGAGGUGGAUUAGAAGGGGAAGGUGUGCAAAAGCAGUAGACGAGAACUGCAACAUUUGCAAGCUGUUUUUAAAUAUGCCCACAAUAAAGAAAUGCAUAACGAAAUACCUGUUGGGGUGUAUCUACUAAAUAUUUUUUUUUGUAUAUCUGGACAGUGGAGUGUCCCUUCAAAUAUAAAUUGCAUUCAGACUGCACAUCCCAAAAUGCUCUGUGUAGUCCUGACUGUGUUUUAGUCACAAAACUAUUCCAACUUUGACCAAAAUAACCAACUUUAGAAAUUCAUCAAGUUUUAUGUCUGCUCUGUAGAUAACUUCCAGCUUUUCGUUUAUUCACAUGCAGUAUAUUUUGAUGUUCAAUGAAACCAUUAGGUAUCCAUCUGGCUGCCUUCCAUAUUGCUGCAGUUGCAUAUGCAUCUUAUGUUGGUGUAUAUCCCAUCAUUUUUAAGAAAUGCUCAGAAGCUUGAUCGGGUGUUGACUAAAUACUGUUGACACAUGCAAUGUAAUUUUGUGU